This 253-nucleotide ribosomal RNA is filed under the name uncultured bacterium. RNAcentral describes it as "partial 16S ribosomal RNA". It matches the Rfam family "Bacterial small subunit ribosomal RNA", at positions 524 to 776 of the family's 1533-position model. The record is from RNAcentral.
UACGAAGGGGGCUAGCGUUGUUCGGAAUUACUGGGCGUAAAGAGCUCGUAGGCGGUUUGUCGCGUCUGCUGUGAAAGACCGGGGCUCAACUCCGGUUCUGCAGUGGGUACGGGCAGACUAGAGUGCAGUAGGGGAGACUGGAAUUCCUGGUGUAGCGGUGGAAUGCGCAGAUAUCAGGAGGAACACCGGUGGCGAAGGCGGUUCUCUGGGCAUUACCUGACGCUGAGGAGCGAAAGUGUGGGGAGCGAACAGG